Molecule: long non-coding RNA, 250 nt
Organism: Xenopus tropicalis (tropical clawed frog)
Lineage: Eukaryota; Metazoa; Chordata; Amphibia; Anura; Pipidae
Exons: 3
Source: RefSeq, a predicted model, not a curated record
UAUCAGCAAACCUGGUAUCACGAGGCCAAUACGCUGAAAAUGGCUCGCCUGUGGCUGGCGCACUACUCCCUCCCUCGGGCUCUGACGCGGCUGCAGGCUGCCAGGGAGCACGGGGGAUCCCAGAAUCCACCAGGACUUCCCAGAACAGGAGCUGAAUAAGUCUCUGCAGUCCCUGAAUAAUUUCUGCAGCCAAAUCGGAGACGACCGGCCGCUGUCCUUCUGCCACUUCAGCCCCAACUCCAGAUGGUUG